GUGGGGAAUAUUGGGCAAUGGGCGAAAGCCUGACCCAGCAACGCCGCGUGAAGGAAGAAGGUCUUCGGAUCGUAAACUUCUAUCCUUGGUGAAGAUAAUGACGGUAGCCGAGAAGGAAGCCCCGGCUAACUACGUGCCAGCAGCCGCGGCAAUACGUAGGGGGCAAGCGUUGUCCGGAAUGAUUGGGCGUAAAGGGCGCGUAGGCGGCCUGGUAAGUCUGGAGUGAAAGUCCUGCUUUUAAGGUGGGAAUUGCUUUGGAUACUGUCGGGCUUGAGUGCAGGAGAGGUAAGUGGAAUUCCCGGUGUAGCGGUGAAAUGCGUAGAGAUCGGGAGGAACACCAGUGUCGAAGGCGACUUACUGGACUGUAACUGACGCUGAGGCGCGAAAGUGUGGGGAGCAAACAGGAUUAGAUACCCUUGUAGUCC
RNAcentral lists this ribosomal RNA (425 nucleotides) under uncultured bacterium. Its description in RNAcentral is "partial 16S ribosomal RNA". It matches the Rfam family "Bacterial small subunit ribosomal RNA", at positions 354 to 796 of the family's 1533-position model. The record is from RNAcentral.